This is a long non-coding RNA of Odocoileus virginianus texanus, 673 nucleotides long. RefSeq lists it as uncharacterized. The record is from RefSeq and is a predicted model, not a curated record. NCBI's taxonomy places the organism in Eukaryota, Metazoa, Chordata, Mammalia, Artiodactyla, Cervidae.
UCUAGAAUCUUAAUAAAGGUACACCCACACCUUUCCAGUAAGAGGGGAUGCUGAAAUUAUUGGAGCUCGCUACCAGCAAGCCUAAAUGUCAGUUCACAGACUCCAGACAGAAGCAUCAUAUUUCUACACUAUAAGUAAGUCAAACCCAAAUCUGCUGUGCGGUCUGGAAAAUCACUGUUGGUCUUCACUAGACCUCAUCCUCCAAGGAUCACACUGAAGUCCUCUGGAGCAGGAGGUAGAUCUCUAGUCCAGAACCUCUGCGGCCGUUUUCGUUCUUCAGGUUCGCUGAUGUCCCUCCGCUCUGGUUUCCGCAGCGUCAGGCAGGAACCCCGCGCCGCCUGGUGUGAGGUCCGGCCCUGGGGGAGCAGGUGGGCCAGCCCUCGGAUCUCUGGGCAGAGGAACCCCCCUCUCCCGCCUGGAGCUUGCGAAAUCUCCUCUGAGGGUAUUCAGCUUAACCUCGUCAGUGACAUGAGAGGUUAGUGGUGGGGGAGCCAGAAGGAAGGAAAGUAUUGCGCAAGAGAUUGUUUCUGCCUGUUUACUCGAUGCGAGGGAAGCCUGCCAUCUUCCGACAACUGGGAGGAGAAAACAGAAAAAAUAACCCUGCCACACAGGGCUAGGUCAUCCCAGGAAGGUAUCUCCAGGAAAGUCUAGAAAUAAAAACAGCUUUCUUUGA